AGUGAACGCUGGCGGUAGGCCUAACACAUGCCAGUCGAACGGCAGCACAGUAAGAGCUUGCUCUUACGGGUGGCGAGUGGCGGACGGGUGAGGAAUGCAUCGGAAUCUACUUUUUCGUGGGGGAUAACGUAGGGAAACUUACGCUAAUACCGCAUACGACCUACGGGUGAAAGCAGGGGAUCUUCGGACCUUGCGCGAUUGAAUGAGCCGAUGUCGGAUUAGCUAGUUGGCGGGGUAAAGGCCCACCAAGGCGACGAUCCGUAGCUGGUCUGAGAGGAUGAUCAGCCACACUGGAACUGAGACACGGUCCAGACUCCUACGGGAGGCAGCAGUGGGGAAUAUUGGACAAUGGGCGCAAGCCUGAUCCAGCCAUACCGCGUGGGUGGAGAAGGCCUUCGGGUUGUAAAGCCCUUUUGUUGGGAAAGAAAAGCAGCAGGUUAAUACCCCGCUGUUCUGACGGUACCCAAAGAAUAAGCACCGGCUAACUUCGUG
RNAcentral lists this ribosomal RNA (492 nucleotides) under uncultured bacterium. RNAcentral describes it as "partial 16S ribosomal RNA". It matches the Rfam family "Bacterial small subunit ribosomal RNA", at positions 29 to 507 of the family's 1533-position model. The record is from RNAcentral.